RNAcentral lists this unclassified non-coding RNA (1495 nucleotides) under Trichormus variabilis HA4236-MV5. RNAcentral's name for it is "bacterial SSU rRNA". The stretch from base 1 to 1164 matches the Rfam family "Bacterial small subunit ribosomal RNA", at positions 356 to 1533 of the family's 1533-position model. The record is from RNAcentral. Lineage: Bacteria; Bacillati; Cyanobacteriota; Cyanophyceae; Nostocales; Nostocaceae.
GGGGAAUUUUCCGCAAUGGGCGAAAGCCUGACGGAGCAAUACCGCGUGAGGGAGGAAGGCUCUUGGGUUGUAAACCUCUUUUCUCAGGGAAUAAGAAAGUGAAGGUACCUGAGGAAUAAGCAUCGGCUAACUCCGUGCCAGCAGCCGCGGUAAUACGGAGGAUGCAAGCGUUAUCCGGAAUGAUUGGGCGUAAAGCGUCCGCAGGUGGCACUGUAAGUCUGCUGUUAAAGAGCAAGGCUCAACCUUGUAAAGGCAGUGGAAACUACAGAGCUAGAGUACGUUCGGGGCAGAGGGAAUUCCUGGUGUAGCGGUGAAAUGCGUAGAGAUCAGGAAGAACACCGGUGGCGAAAGCGCUCUGCUAGGCCGUAACUGACACUGAGGGACGAAAGCUAGGGGAGCGAAUGGGAUUAGAUACCCCAGUAGUCCUAGCCGUAAACGAUGGAUACUAGGCGUGGCUUGUAUCGACCCGAGCCGUGCCGGAGCCAACGCGUUAAGUAUCCCGCCUGGGGAGUACGCACGCAAGUGUGAAACUCAAAGGAAUUGACGGGGGCCCGCACAAGCGGUGGAGUAUGUGGUUUAAUUCGAUGCAACGCGAAGAACCUUACCAAGACUUGACAUGUCGCGAAUCUUCUUGAAAGGGGAGAGUGCCUUCGGGAGCACGAACACAGGUGGUGCAUGGCUGUCGUCAGCUCGUGUCGUGAGAUGUUGGGUUAAGUCCCGCAACGAGCGCAACCCUCGUUUUUAGUUGCCAGCAUUAAGUUGGGCACUCUAGAGAGACUGCCGGUGACAAACCGGAGGAAGGUGGGGAUGACGUCAAGUCAGCAUGCCCCUUACGUCUUGGGCUACACACGUACUACAAUGCUACGGACAGAGGGCAGCAAGCUAGCGAUAGCAAGCAAAUCCCGUAAACCGUAGCUCAGUUCAGAUCGCAGGCUGCAACUCGCCUGCGUGAAGGAGGAAUCGCUAGUAAUUGCAGGUCAGCAUACUGCAGUGAAUUCGUUCCCGGGCCUUGUACACACCGCCCGUCACACCAUGGAAGCUGGCAACGCCCGAAGUCAUUACUCCAACCAUUCGUGGGGGAGGAUGCCUAAGGCAGUGCUGGUGACUGGGGUGAAGUCGUAACAAGGUAGCCGUACCGGAAGGUGUGGCUGGAUCACCUCCUUUUAGGGAGACCUACCCAACUGAGAAUCGAAAGCACAGAGCAAAUAGAUGAACAGAUGGUCUACUCUAGGUCGGUCGAGAUUGGUAAAAGCUUUCAAAGUAUUACUUGUUCCGGUUUACAGUUUACUCACUUAGAUAGUUUAUUUAGAUAGAAACAAUCCAGCAACUAACGGAAGUUAGACUGCUGGGUAAAACCUAGCCAGAACCUUGAAAACUGCAUAAAAACGCGAUUAGAUUAGCAGGCAGACACAGACAAACUGUGAAUGCAGGAUAAAACCAAUGAGAAAGUGGUCAAGCUAAUAAGGGCUAAUGGUGGAUACCUAGGCACACAGAG